AGAGUUUGAUUAUGGCUCAGGACGAACGCUGGCGGCAUGCCUAACACAUGCAAGUCGAACGGAGUUAUUAUUCAGAAGUUCUUCGGGAUGGAAGGAUAAGAACUUAGUGGCGGACGGGUGAGUAACGCGUGGGUAACCUGCCCUUUUGUGGGGAACAACUUCGAGAAAUCGGAGCUAAUACCGCAUAAUAAUAGAGGAUCGCAUGAUUCUUUAAGGAAAGAUGGCCUCUGAAGAUGCUAUCGCAAAAGGAUGGACCCGCGUCUGAUUAGCUAGUUGGAAGGGUAACGGCCUACCAAGGCAACGAUCAGUAGCCGGCCUGAGAGGGUGAACGGCCACAUUGGGACUGAGACACGGCCCAAACUCCUACGGGAGGCAGCAGUGGGGAAUCUUCCGCAAUGGGCGAAAGCCUGACGGAGCAAUGCCGCGUGAGUGAAGAAGGCCUUCGGGUUGUAAAACUCUGUCCUUAUCGAAGAGAGGUAGGUAUGUGAAUAAUGUACCUAUAGGACGGUAGAUAAGGAGGAAGCCCCGGCUAACUACGUGCCAGCAGCCGCGGUAAUACGUAGGGGGCGAGCGUUGUCCGGAAUCACUGGGCGUAAAGGGCGCGUAAGCGGUUUAAUAAGUC
RNAcentral lists this ribosomal RNA (622 nucleotides) under uncultured bacterium. RNAcentral describes it as "bacterial SSU rRNA". It matches the Rfam family "Bacterial small subunit ribosomal RNA", at positions 8 to 589 of the family's 1533-position model. The record is from RNAcentral.